CCUACGGGUGGCAGCAGUGGGGAAUAUUGCGCAAUGGGCGAAAGCCUGACGCAGCGACGCCGCGUGAGGGAUGAAGGUCUUCGGAGCGUAAACCUCUGUCAGCAGGGAAGAACGGUCACUGUGCUAAUCAGCAGUGAAUUGACUGUACCUGCAAAGGAAGCACCGGCUAACUCCGUGCCACCAGCCGCGGUAAUACGGAGGGGGCGAGCGUUAAUCGGAUUUACUGGGUGUAAAGCGCUCGUAGGCGGUAUGUCAAGUCAAGGGUGAAAUCCCCGCGCGCAACGUGGGAACUGCCUUUGAAACUGGCAGACUGGAGUGCGUGCGAGGAUAGUGGAAUUCCAGGUGUAGGAGUGAAAUCCGUAGAUAUCUGGAGGAACACCGGUGGCGAAGGCAGCUAUCUGGAACAUAACUGACGCUGAGGAGCGAAAGCGUGGGUAGCAAACAGGAUUAGAUACCCGUGUAGUC
Molecule: ribosomal RNA, 465 nt
Filed under: uncultured bacterium
Lineage: Bacteria
Description: partial 16S ribosomal RNA
Rfam family: Bacterial small subunit ribosomal RNA
Source: RNAcentral